This 920-nucleotide ribosomal RNA is filed under the name Triticum aestivum (bread wheat). RNAcentral describes it as "partial small subunit ribosomal RNA". The record is from RNAcentral. Lineage: Eukaryota; Viridiplantae; Streptophyta; Magnoliopsida; Poales; Poaceae.
GGUAGCCCGUCUCGAGCUCGCCUUCCUCGUUCCCCAGAACUCGCUCGUCUUCCUCGUUCCUCUUUGAGGUCGAGCCCUCCUCCGCCUCCUACCUGCUGAUUGGGGCGUUCGAUCCGGAUUCCACCUGCUCUGCUUGGAUUAGAAGAUAUAAAGAAUGGCUGCACAAGACACUCCUAUGAUCACCGAGGAUGACUAUGAGACUCAGCAGAAGAAGCAAGCUGCUGCAGAUGUUCUUUUCAACUAUUCACAGUUUGUUAUGGUGUGCAUUGGUGAGGGAGUUCGCCCGACUGAUCUCCGGUUGCAUCUUAUGAAGGAAAUUUCAGGGAUGCCCACCUCUUUGAAGGAAGAGCCACGGCAGGCAGCUGCCUCCCCAGAUUCUAGCGGUGAACCAUCAUCCUCUGGGACGAUGAAAGAAGACAGGAGCGAAAUCCCAUAAGCUUCAUCUGCAUCUUGCAAGGAGAUGGGUAUCUCAGGAUGGUAGGCUCUGAUUUGUGAUCAUAGAGAUGUAAAUAAGUUAGCAUGCUUGAGGCGAGGCCUGAUUUGGUUUACAGCGCUGAAGAGCACAUUUUCCUGGCGGAUGGUAACGUUUGUGAUCAUUUUUCAAGCCGCUUGCAUUGCAUCUAUUAGUUGGGGUCCAUAUCUUCCUGCCAUAUGGGUAGAUAGCAAAUAAUCGCGGAACAAUACUGUUGUGUUGUCCAUGUCUUCUGUUUAAUCAGGUUGAUUGGAGGUUCUGUUUUGCAUUCCGGGGUUGGCAGGCACAUUGUGGCUUACAUUCCUAGAGCUUAGUUUCAAACCAGUUCAUGGGUGUUGUGGAAUGCAUCAGGAUAUCUUGCUGCUAAGGUUCAUAAUGGACACAAAAUCUGAUUGUGAAGACCCUUUUUAGCUCUCUUCUUUUUUUUGAAAUAUAAGCACCUUCCAUU